GAUGAACGCUGGCGGCGUGCCUAAUACAUGCAAGUCGAGCGAACGGACGAGAAGCUUGCUUCUCUGAUGUUAGCGGCGGACGGGUGAGUAACACGUGGAUAACCUACCUAUAAGACUGGGAUAACUUCGGGAAACCGGAGCUAAUACCGGAUAAUAUUUUGAACCGCAUGGUUCAAAAGUGAAAGACGGUCUUGCUGUCACUUAUAGAUGGAUCCGCGCUGCAUUAGCUAGUUGGUAAGUUAACGGCUUACCAAGGCAACGAUGCAUAGCCGAACUGAGAGGGUGAUCGGCCACACUGGAACUGAGACACGGUCCAGACUCCUACGGGAGGCAGCAGUAGGGAAUCUUCCGCAAUGGGCGAAAGCCUGACGGAGCAACGCCGCGUGAGUGAUGAAGGUCUUCGGAUCGUAAAACUCUGUUAUUAGGGAAGAACAUAUGUGUAAGUAACUGUGCACAUCUUGACGGUACCUAAUCAGAAAGCCACGGCUAACUACGUG
RNAcentral lists this ribosomal RNA (497 nucleotides) under uncultured bacterium. RNAcentral's name for it is "partial 16S ribosomal RNA". It matches the Rfam family "Bacterial small subunit ribosomal RNA", at positions 28 to 507 of the family's 1533-position model. The record is from RNAcentral.